GGGGUUGUGGCUCAGUGGUAGAGUGCUUGCCUAGCAUGCAUGAGGCACUGGGUUCAAUUCUCAGCACCACA
RNAcentral lists this transfer RNA (71 nucleotides) under Marmota monax (woodchuck). RNAcentral describes it as "tRNA.Ala". It matches the Rfam family "tRNA". From Rfam's summary of the family: Transfer RNA (tRNA) molecules are approximately 80 nucleotides in length. Lineage: Eukaryota; Metazoa; Chordata; Mammalia; Rodentia; Sciuridae. The record is from RNAcentral.